Molecule: small nuclear RNA, 187 nt
Organism: Hyla sarda
Lineage: Eukaryota; Metazoa; Chordata; Amphibia; Anura; Hylidae
Product: U2 spliceosomal RNA
Exons: 1
Source: RefSeq, a predicted model, not a curated record
AUGGCUUCUCGGCCUUUUGGCUAAGAUCAAGUGUAGUAUCUGUUCUCCUCAGUUUCAUACUGGUGGAGAAGUCCCACUGGUGUGGUGCUGGUGGGGGUGGGUGCUGCAUGUAGGAGGCAGGUCAACCGGGGCGUUCCGGGGCCGGUUCUGAGGAAUCAGCUCGAUGGCUGUCCUGAUGUGACCUGUU